Molecule: ribosomal RNA, 478 nt
Filed under: Apionsoma misakianum
Lineage: Eukaryota; Metazoa; Annelida; Sipuncula; Phascolosomatiformes; Phascolosomatidae
Description: partial 16S ribosomal RNA
Rfam family: Bacterial large subunit ribosomal RNA
Source: RNAcentral
AUGGCGUCUAGUAAUACAUAUUAGAGGUCCGGCCUGCCCGGUGGAAAUCUAAACGGCCGCGGUACUCUGACCGUGCUAAGGUAGCGCAAUCGCUCGCCUAUUAAUUGUAGGCUAGUAUGAAUGGCCAGACAAGAGCUUUACUGUCUCAAAGAGCCUAUAAUGAAAACUUACCCUUAGGUGUAGAGGCCUAAAUAAAAGAAAAAGACAAGAAGACCCUAUCGCGCUUUAAUACUACUUUUUUAUUAAAAACAUUUAUUUUUACUGGGAUAGUAAAGGAACAAAGAAAAUUUCCUUUCAACUAAAUAUUUACCUAGAGCCGUAAAAACUACUAUAGGUAAUAGCUACCGUAGGGAUAACAGACUAAUUUCCUUUGAGAGUUCACAUUGACAAGGAAGCUUGGCACCUCGAUGUUGGCUUAAGAUAACAGUUAUGAAGCGGACUCUNACACUGGUGGGUUGNUCCACCCCCUAAAAUCUUA